UUCUAUGUUCAUCGCUUGUCCAGUAAACAUGUCUUCAUCACCAGUCUGCGAGUCAGAGUCUUGCCAGCAUUUCUUACAGUAUUUUUUGGUGCCGAAACCCGGGAACCCCGUCGGAUUAGAAGAAAGGGAAAGCUCAUGAUCCUCCUGCACCUGCUAUUUACUGGAUGAUGGAACGACUUGCACAACAGCAACCAGGAACCAUCUGAGCUGUCGCAAUUGCUGAAGAGGUCAACCACAUUGUUGUAUAUUAUAUAUACGUUCGUUCUGAAUCCAUUGCCCCAGAAGAGCGGAGGUCUACGCGUGACGCACCUUGCUGACGGCCUCUGCCCUUAUUUCAAUGCACGCGGACGAUGCGGUACUGACCGAUACCUCUUGCGACAUCCUGCUUACGAAUUCGGAUGAUGACAUAAACAUCGACCAAACCAGGCCAAAAUUCCAGAAGAACUCCCGACAUUGUUAUUGUCGUCAAUCAUGGAACGUCGACACGGAUGACUGCCUUAUGAACUUCAUCACCAACUGACCAUCAGAAUCAUUACCGUGUGUCUGAAUUCGCCUGCCUUCAUCAAAUUGUGUCGCCAUCGCCGUCGCCGGGAGUGUGUUGUGGAAAUAAAGAGGAGGAAGCCAUCUGCCAACCAUCCUCAUCGACAUCACUGAUAUCACCCUCAAUCACGCGCUCAGUCGUUCGCUCGAUUCACUAAAAGAUAUGCCACCCUGAUGCAGGAGGUCCGUGCUGGUCCGAAGGCUGAUAUGCGAAUGCGAACCAUAUUUCUUGGUAAAGGGUUCAUAUCGAAGUUCACGAUCUCUGUGUGGCUUGUCCUGUAUUCUUGGCUUGGAUGUAGGGACGUUUGUGACCUGUGACUCCUGAUGACGUGUGGGCGGCGGAGGAUCAGGCGAAAUUCAACAUAUGGCUGCGCCAUCACAGAAGUAUGCUGUAUGAAGCAGUCGUGGUCGCCUGGCAUUACAGGGACUGUGCUCCACUGUUGGUGACUGUUUGUGCAUGUGACAUUAAACAUGGCUGUGCAAGCA
Long non-coding RNA from Ornithodoros turicata, 1026 nucleotides. RefSeq lists it as uncharacterized. The record is from RefSeq and is a predicted model, not a curated record. The transcript is spliced from 2 exons. NCBI's taxonomy places the organism in Eukaryota, Metazoa, Arthropoda, Arachnida, Ixodida, Argasidae.